RNAcentral lists this unclassified non-coding RNA (472 nucleotides) under Onthophagus taurus. RNAcentral describes it as "solute carrier family 35 member E2-like, transcript variant X1". Lineage: Eukaryota; Metazoa; Arthropoda; Insecta; Coleoptera; Scarabaeidae. The record is from RNAcentral.
ACCCCCAAAAUUUGACAUUUAAAAACAAACAUGAGUCCCAGCGUUAAAGGGAUUCGAUGACUCGAAAACGGACAAAUACUACUAAAAUGGACAAUUCUAAUAUAAACCAUGGACACGUGGAUAAUGAAAAAGUCAGUAUACGAAAGGAACAUGAAGUAAUUUAUAGUCAUCGUAAAGGACUGUUCAAUGGAAGAGCUAUUCUUUUUUUACUACUUUGGUAUUUGUUUAGUGGAUGUACUUUAUUUUUGAAUAAGUAUAUUUUAACGUAUUUAAAUGGAAAUCCUACAGUAUUAGGGGCAUCUCAAAUGUUGACAACAGCAAGUUGUGGAUUUAUACAAAUGUAUUUCCCUUGUGGGAUGUACAAACCUAAUCAAAGAUUAAAUAAACCACCUGGUUUUUAUCGUCAUAUGAUAUUAGUUGGUUGUACCAGGUAAUUUUUUUUAUUAUGAUAAAACCUUGAUAUAAUAGACAA